AUGACACCUCCCAAUACGGUACAAUGGAAUGAUGGCUAUGAAUAUAAGAGCAAAAAGCUCUGUAGAGGAGGGAAUGGAGGCCCAGAGAAGACUUGUCCAAGACUAAAUGGCCAACUGAUGGCAGAGGUCACUUUUGAGAAUUUCUGGAGAGACUUUUCUCAUGGACUCGUUCUGGGUUGGAGCUUUCUGAGCUGGAGAGGCUUGCUUGAUUUAUUCUUGUUUGGGGAUCAAUCCCAAUUUCCAUAUACCACAUCAUCACAGAGCCCAGGCCAAAUUGAAAGAAGGAAUAGAGAUCUUAAGACUAUGACUGGAAAAUUGUGCACUGAGACUCAUUUACAAUGGCCAGAAGUUCUCCUUCUAGUUCUAUUUUAUCUUCUAAGCAGGCCCAGGGGAGAUCUACACAUCUCACCAUUUGAGAGGUUUUUUUGGACAUCCCCCUAAUAUAGGCUAAGCCUUUUUUCUCCUGCAUACACAUCAUUACUUUGGGGGGACACUUCUAUUGCUUCAUAUAUAUACAGGACUUACCGAGCAAAUUGCAAGAACUCCAUGAAUCCAGAGCUGCAGUACAAGCAGGACUUACAGACUUUUCACUUCAUGACCUAAACCCAGGAGACAAGGUAUACGUAAGGAACUUCUAGCACACUGGAGCAACUCAGCGUGCCUGGGAAGGUCUGUUUCAAGUACUGUUAACCACUCACAACAGCUAUCAAAAUUGGAGAGAAAGACUCUUAGAUUCAUUGCUCACACAUAAAACAAGUACCUUCUAUCAACACUGAUUGACUGUAUCCUGUCACAUGCAUUGGAGAUAAAAGUCCAUAGACAAGUGGACACUGUUUUGGCUAACACAUGAAUUUUGUAUUUUUUUCCUUUUAAUUUGCAAUAAGGAUAUUUAAUUUUUUCCCUUUCUUUUUCCUUCUUUCUUGGACUUGAAGUACAUGUAACCAGUGGAUUUUGAAGGAUAAAUUUACAAUAUCCAUUAGCCCUAAUAUCAAUGCAUACCCAAAAGCUUUAGACUAUAAAAAUCUGACAUUAAUUGUUAAAUAUUGUGGGACUGUAAUUAAUAAUUGUGUCUGAUUCCAGGAGAAGGGAUCGCAAAAGAGCCAUUGUACAAUGCAAAGAAUGCUGGGAUCCAUUUUCUAUAUAGCCAUGCCUCAUCAUCUACUACUUCUUCCCUGUUAGGAGAUGGAGUACAAUGAUGGAGUACUGAAUUUGGAAUCAGAUGACUUGGCUUCAAACCCCAGAUCUGCUACUUACUCUAGUAAUUAUCUUGAGCAAAACCUUUGGUCUCCCUGAGGCCUUGGUUUCCUUACUUUUUUAAUGAGGAAAGUGGAUUACAUGAUACUUCAUUUGAAAAGGGGACAUUUCCAAUGGUGCUAUUGAAUCAAAAAUGUAUAUAUGGGAGUUUAAGUUGAGUCAGGGAUCAAUAGAAAUAGAAAUGACCCAUCUGUUUCUUAAGGUAAUGUCUAACUCCAAAUCUACAAGUCUAUAUGAAGUUGAAUAAUUUCUUUGAAUUUCAGUUAAUUCAUCUGCAAAAUGGGGAUACGUUUUAAAUAAUAAUGACCAUGAUGCAGAUGAAUAAGGCAAGAACCUUAAGUCUUAAAAGUCUGUACAAUAUUCUAAAAUGAAUCAACACAUUUUAUGGAAAAGGAGUAGUUUUCUAUUUCUUACUAUGUCUAUUACUAUUACUAUUACUUACACGACAAGCAAGAAUCUUGCCUGUGUGGUCCAAGGCAAGAUUUGCAUACACAUUUGUAGUGCCAUGGUUGGCCCUUCUUUGCCAUAGUCUGUCACUCUAGGCCUAUCCCUCUCUCCCCUGACCCACUUAGAUGCUUCUUGAUUUUUUACUUCCAGCAAUAAGCCCCGAUCUUGCCCUCUCCUUACAUCUCUCCCCUUCACUCUAUGUCUGUAUCCAUAAAGGUAGAUCAGAUAACUACCAGCUGCCUGCCACUGUUUUACUGUUGUACUGUUGGCUCACUCACUGUUCCUAGAGUUCCUCUAAUCCCUGACUAUGGUGUCAACCUUAUCCUUCCCUAUUCAUAGAACUGUUAUGAGGUGAAAAUAGAUGUGAAUGAGUUUUGUUUUUUUUUUUAAACCCUCACCUUCCAUCUUGGAGUUAAUACUGUGUAUUGGUUCCAAGAUAGAAGAGUGGUAAGGGCUAGGCAAUGGGGAUUAAGUGACUUGCCCAGGGUCACACAGCUGGGAAGUAUCUGAGGUCAGAUUUGAACCCAGGACCUCCUGACUCUAGGAUUGGCUCUCUAUCCACUGAACUACCCAGCUGCUCCCCAACAUGAAUAAGUUUUGAAAAAAAUAACACCACUCUUAUUGUCUUCCUCAUACCUCUCUGGAGUUUGGACUCCUGAAGAGUCUUUGAGGAGAGUGCCAACUCUGGGAGGCCCUGUCAACCUAGAAAGGAUUUGACUUAGGGCCCUUACUAGUUUUUGAGAACCAGACUAAUUAGGCACGCAGAGGCUCAUCAUCAGACAACUGACCACCAGAAGAUGAAUUGUUUUGGCUGGAGCAAUUGAGGAAAAGUAUCUUCUGUGGGCAUGGUGAGGCAGUAAUUCACUUCCAUGGGAAAAGGACUGAUGCCAGUGAUCCUUGAAGUACUGAAAUUGGUAUUUUUUUUCCUUUUGAAAACUUUUUUAUCAUGAACUUUUAAAAUACUACAAACUUGGCCAUUUCUAUAUUCAAAGAACAGAAAAAAAUAUGAUUGAUAUCAAAACCAUGAAUCUCUUUGAAGUCUAGCAGUGGUUUUUGCUAAGAACAUAAUAAAUAAGAGAGAAAUGUACUAAAUAAAUAAAUA
Monodelphis domestica (gray short-tailed opossum) is the source of this 2803-nucleotide long non-coding RNA. The record is from Ensembl. Lineage: Eukaryota; Metazoa; Chordata; Mammalia; Didelphimorphia; Didelphidae.